ACUGUGACGAUAGCAAGUGCCGU
RNAcentral lists this small nuclear RNA (23 nucleotides) under Arabidopsis thaliana (thale cress). Its description in RNAcentral is "snRNA_18439". The record is from RNAcentral. Lineage: Eukaryota; Viridiplantae; Streptophyta; Magnoliopsida; Brassicales; Brassicaceae.